RNAcentral lists this ribosomal RNA (502 nucleotides) under Psammomacrostomum sp. 5 TJ-2015. RNAcentral describes it as "partial 16S ribosomal RNA". It matches the Rfam family "Bacterial large subunit ribosomal RNA", at positions 1801 to 2620 of the family's 2925-position model. The record is from RNAcentral. Lineage: Eukaryota; Metazoa; Platyhelminthes; Macrostomidae.
UGUUUAAUAAAAACAUAGCGUUAAGUAUAUAUUUAAGGUGGUUUCUGCCCCAUGAAUUUUUAUUUAAAUGGCUGCGGUAUCUUGACUGUACGAAGGUAGCAUAAUUACUUGUCAGUUUAAUUGGUGACUUGUCUGAAGGGGAAUUUAAGAGAAAAGAUUUUUUAUUCUAAGUUUUUAAGUUUCUAAUGUGGGUAAAAAUACUUACAUCUGUGAGUAAGACGAUAAGACCCUAGAAGCUUCAACAUUAUUUCACACUAUGUUUUUUUUGGGGCAAAACAUUUAAUUAUAUAAAUGAUUCCGGAUAUACGAUUAUUCUUUUCAGUGUGGCAGUAGGGUUGUUUUAGUUACUCUAGGGUUAACAGGACAAUGGGUGUUUAGAGAACAUAUCGAAAUAUUUAGAUUGUUACCUCGAUGUUGAAUUUCCUAUGCUCUAUGGUGCAGCAGCUAUAGAAGUAAGUCUGUUCGACUUUUAUACCGGAACAUGAUUUGAGUUUAAACCGGC